RNAcentral lists this ribosomal RNA (643 nucleotides) under uncultured marine bacterium. RNAcentral describes it as "bacterial SSU rRNA". It matches the Rfam family "Bacterial small subunit ribosomal RNA", at positions 8 to 634 of the family's 1533-position model. The record is from RNAcentral.
AGAGUUUGAUCCUGGCUCAGGACGAACGCUGGCGGCGUGCCUAAUACAUGCAAGUCGAGCGAAUCGAUGGGAGCUUGCUCCCUGAGAUUAGCGGCGGACGUGUGAGUAACACGUGGGCAACCUGCCUAUAAGACUGGGAUAACUUCGGGAAACCGGAGCUAAUACCGGAUACGUUCUUUUCUCGCAUGAGAGAAGAUGGAAAGACGGUUUACGCUGUCACUUAUAGAUGGGCCCGCGGCGCAUUAGCUAGUUGGUGAGGUAAUGGCUCACCAAGGCGACGAUGCGUAGCCGACCUGAGAGGGUGAUCGGCCACACUGGGACUGAGACACGGCCCAGACUCCUACGGGAGGCAGCAGUAGGGAAUCUUCCGCAAUGGACGAAAGUCUGACGGAGCAACGCCGCGUGAACGAAGAAGGCCUCCGGGUCGUAAAGUUCUGUUGUUAGGGAAGAACAAGUACCAGAGUAACUGCUGGUACCUUGACGGUACCUAACCAGAAAGCCACGGCUAACUACGUGCCAGCAGCCGCGGUAAUACGUAGGUGGCAAGCGUUGUCCGGAAUUAUUGGGCGUAAAGCGCGCGCAGGUGGUUCCUUAAGUCUGAUGUGAAAGCCCACGGCUCAACCGUGGAGGGUCAUUGGAAACU